UACGGAGGGUGCAAGCGUCGUCCGGAUUUAUUGGGGUUAAAGGGUGCGUAGGCGGCUUGAUAAGUCCGUGGUGAAAGCCAACAGCUCAACUGUUGAACUGCCAUGGAUACUGUCAGGCUUGAGUACAGACGAGGUAGGCGGAAUGGAUCGUGUAGCGGUGAAACGCAUGGAUACGAUCCAGAACUCCGAUUGCGAAGGCAGCUUACUAGGCUGUAACUGACGCUGAGGCACGAAAGCGUAGGGAGCGAACAGG
Molecule: ribosomal RNA, 253 nt
Filed under: uncultured bacterium
Lineage: Bacteria
Description: partial 16S ribosomal RNA
Rfam family: Bacterial small subunit ribosomal RNA
Source: RNAcentral